This 92-nucleotide microRNA precursor is filed under the name Canis lupus familiaris (dog). RNAcentral's name for it is "mir-8799 microRNA precursor family". It matches the Rfam family "mir-8799 microRNA precursor family". Lineage: Eukaryota; Metazoa; Chordata; Mammalia; Carnivora; Canidae. The record is from Rfam by way of RNAcentral. RNAcentral also lists the same sequence under 1 other name.
GGGGGAGCACCGCAUCUUGGGUUGUAUCCCCCAGUGCUCUGGGCUCCGGAGCCUGCACUGCUGGAAUUGCACUCCAGGCCGCGCAGCCCCCU